GCAGCUGGGAGGCUGGGAAGAGCAAAGUCCCCGGCACUCCCGUCCUAGGUUUAAGACGGCCUGGUACAUUUUAGGCACUUUUUUCCUGCAUGGAAAAAUAGUGAAUACGCUUUAUGACCUCAUCCUGUGUUGGGCUCAUUGCUGUACUGUUAUUUUAUUUUACUUUUAUGAUUGGUUAUUGCUCUUUUCACAGCGGAUUUACAUCUUCUUAGGACUUCAACGGAAAUCCAACAGAAGAAAUCAAUUGGGCGCAGUUUGGCCACUAGGGGGCAGCAGGAGGUCGCCAGACGUUUCCGGGUAGCUGGGCGGAGGGUGACCGGUUAACUCCAGGGAAAAGAUGGGACACUGUGACUCACAAAGGGCUUUUUGGCUUCUCACAGCAUUUCCUCACAGUGUUGAGUUUGCUUCUCACACCAGGCCCAGGAAACCGGCGGGUGGGGCGGGAGUUAUUGCCCCACGCCGCGGGCCGGGGGAGGGAAGGGUUUACCUUGGGAGGGUUGGUGUCAUAGGAGGUCACAGAGUGGCAGAGGCGGGGUCCACCGGGAUCCAGGCUCCUCCUGGGAAGCUCCACCCUCAGAGACCCCAGAUAAGCUGGGUACUGCGAGGAGACCAGGGGCAGAAACCCGGAGGCCGACGUUUAUAAACGUCGCCCGGCUCAGUCCUUCCAUACCCACUCCGGGCCCCACCCACGGCUUAGCAAUGCCCUCUGCAUCUCACCGGUGAGAGAGAUGCUCAGGCCCCUCCCUCAGGAACUGGGCACAAAGGCAAAUUCACUGCGCGGAGGGCUGGGGAGAAAUGUGUGUUGCACAAGCUGAGUGAUCAGUUUGUGGAGACGAAAAGGCCAGGAAACAAACACAACACAGAAGAAGCCAAAAAAGUUCUGGGAGGAAGGAGCUGGUAACCAAAUGGAGCCAGGCCUGAAGCAGGCAGAGGUGCUUGCUUCUGCUAGAGGCCCCGAAAAGUGAGACCAGGUCUUGAAUGCUACCAAUCACCCGCUAGGGUCAGAGGUGACAGCUGCACCUCACAGGCUCACCCAGCAUGACCAUACGGCGGCUAGUCUGACCCUUGCAGGCUCAACUGGGGCUGGAAUCACAGCAGGAGCCACCGAGCUGAAUGCUGUCGGAGGGUAGAAGGAAGCCCCCUUUUCCUGAUGCAUGGCCUAGAGCUCUUGAUGGUAAGCAGCGCCACCUCAAGAAAUGGAAGAUGAAGGUAGCUGGGAGUGUUCAGUGAGCACCGGAGCACCUUCCCAGGACCUGUGAGGAAGAAGUAAGGCAGAAAGUAAACCUAAGCUUUGGAACUGCGCAAGGAGUGAAGCCUCCCAACAUUAUGAUUUAUCACCGUGGCUGGAAAAGCAAAACAGCCAGCCCAAGAGGUGACACACCAGAGCAGGCUGAUGCAUAACAUCUGGAACACCGUGUCUGGGGUUCCUUUUGUCUCCAGUGUCCUCAGAGUCUGUGCCUCCAAGGAAACCAGAGAGAAUCGUGUGCUGACUUGAGAUUAGCAAGCCUGGGAAGGUCUAGCCAUGACUCCUCAUGCAGCUCUGACUCAGCAGUCAUUUUUUUUUUUUUUGUGCCCCGCUGGCUCGGAGUCACUGAAGGAGAGAAUGUCUUCUUUGAACCUCUCUGUCGGUUCUGACUAAGCGGACAAGGAUAGGCAGCUCAUUCAUUACCUGGCUGGGAGCAUCUUUCUGCCUGAGCCUGCCUCCCACCUGAAUUUCCCUGUCCCCUACUCUACCUGUCUUCCUCAGAAGCUCCCAAGUGUGAAUACCCAAGCCUCCCUGUGCCUGGGCGGCAUGGGAGCUUCCAAAAGCACCCACCCACCUAUUUGUCUUCCGUCUUUUUUGCACAAUGGCCAAUUCGUUAGUUGCUUUUCCUUUGCUGUGACAGACUACUUGGCAAGAAGGAACUUAAGGAAGGAGUGGUUUAUUUUGGCUCCGCAGUUUGAGGAUGUCGGAAUGGCUCUUCUUCAUGGUCGUGAUGUUGACUGCCACCCGCUCCUGAGAGGCAGAGGCGGGUGGAUCUCUGUAAGUUCAAAAGCAGCUUGGUCUUCAUAGUGAGUUCCAGCCCGCUCAGCACUGCACAGUGAGACCCUGUCUCAAAACAAGAGUGGCUUUCAGCUGUGCGGCAGCAGGAGCGUGGCGAGGCAGCACAUUUGCCGUCGCGGUGAGAAAGCAGAGACCAUAGGAGGCGGGAGCUCACGGCUUUCUCCUUUUUUGUCCGUCCCAGGAAUGAGCACCCACAGGGUGGUGCCACCCACGUUCAGGGUUAGGUCUUCUCACCUCAGUUAAGCCUCUCUAGAAACAGCCUCACCUGCAGCUAUGUCCGAGGUCAUCCCAAGUCCCAUCAAGGUGGCAAACUCAGGUCAACCAUCACAUAAUCCCCUCCUGGCAUGCCACUAGUCAAUUCGGGUGGAGCCGCUUCCCUGAGAAAAAGCUCUCGGUCUGUGUGGUCACCUCAGCCUCGUCACCCAGCACAGAGAAGCUCACCCUCUUCUUCACUUUCAGUUUCUCUGUCCCCAGGAGGUCCACGGUCCUUCCUCCCAAUUUAGAGUUCCCCAACUUAGCUUUCUUGUUAUGGUCAGCCCAGGCUAUUGCAGGCAGCAGCUCAGCCAGGUUUGGUUGUCUGUAGCUGAACAUUGAGAUUCGCCAGCAUUCAGAGGAUUUGAGGACAUUUCCCUUUCACAAGGCAGCCGGGCUAUAUCGUAAAAACGCCCCUGCCUUGAAGGCUUAUUUAGGAAAAACAUAAUGUGAAAAAAAGUGAAGAUUCAAGGUAGCUGGGUAUAGGGGUGUGUGUCUGAAACCCAAGAGUGUGGGAGGCUGAGGAAGAGGAGUUCAAAGCCAGCCUGGACUGCGUUGGAGGGACCCCGACUCCCCUGAACACCAGUUAACGGAAGAGUUAGGAUCAUGUCUCUUAGAACCGGUUGCUAGUCACCCUAUCUCAUGAGGUCCGGGCUCUGACUCCCCCAAACCUAUACCCAGCUGGUGAAAAUAUGAGGAAGUUCUCUUGAAUACUGUGACCAAAUCACUUAACCUCAAGACUCCUAGUUUAACAACUUAAAGCCCAAUUCAAGUAUCCACUCUGCUGGUCAGCAAAGCCUCUGGCGGUAGCUCAGAGAUAAAAGAUACAUCACCAAGGCAGCUUGCCUCUGCAGUGUGGUUAAGAGCAUGGCUUGUUUUAUUUUGCGAUUUUUUGCCUCCCUUUGUGUCCCUGACUGCUCCGGAACUCACUGUAUAGACUGAGCUGACUUGGAACUCAUGGAGAUCCACCUGCCUCUGGGCUUAAAGGCUUGUGCUGCUGCACCUUUAACCCCGUGUGGGCAAGAGCUCGCUCAGUGUAACAAAAUUGGCCUAAGCUGAGGCAUUUUGUGACAGCCUAUGAGUUCUAGGGACACAGACCAAGCCUUCUGGAGAACCCCGAGCUCUGCAUCUGUCCUGUGAGAGCCAGAGGCCAACCAGUUUCCAAGACUCUGAAAAACCAGCCAGGAGGCAAGGUGACAUCUCCCAGCUCUGAUUUCUUCAGUUGGAUGGAAUAAUGAAUUUCUCUACAUACUGACGUCUCUCAUCAAAAAAAAAAAAAAUCCUACCCCACAAGUCCCCCUCAUCCUUCCCUCCUCAACCUCAUUCGGAUUGCAAGUGUUGGGCUCAGGGACACUGAUCUGGCUUCUGAGGUUACUGACUGGCAAGUUGCAUGUGGACGUGUUACAGAGUUUGAAAUCACCAGGAAAAGACACCAGGCUCAACUUAAAUUUUAGUUAAAUUUAUUAAAGCUGCCAGCAGGACCACAGUCUCAAAUCCAAAUCAGAGAUGUGCUACCCAGAGGCAGGAGAAGGAAGGAUUUUCAGUUUGGUUGGUUUUGUUUUGUUUUGCUUUUGGAUUUUCAAAACAGAAUUUCUCUGUGUAGGCCUGGCUAUCCUUGAACUCACUCUGUAGACCAGUCUAGACUUUGCCUGGGCUUAAAGAGGUUCUCCAUUCCUGUCCAGAAUGAAGGAAGGGCUUUUAAAGUCGAAAAUCACAA
Molecule: long non-coding RNA, 4013 nt
Organism: Mesocricetus auratus (golden hamster)
Lineage: Eukaryota; Metazoa; Chordata; Mammalia; Rodentia; Cricetidae
Exons: 4
Source: RefSeq, a predicted model, not a curated record